CGCUGCCAACCCGGAAGGAGCCCGGAGGGGCCCGGGCGGCCAGGGCGCCCCCGCCAGGAGGCCCGCCAGGUGUCCACCUGAGCCCCACGCCCUGCGCCGCGGGGCCCUUUUGGGGGCGGGGUGCCAGCUCCGAGGUGUCCUCCCACGGGCUGUAGACUGGGAAACUGAGGCCCGGGCCACGGUCCCAGACGCAGCCGGGACCCGAACCCACCUCACCUGAGCGAAUGAUAUCCGGGACUCAUCCUUUUUCGACACCUUUGCGGGAUCCAGCCCUCCAAGGAAAGCUUCCUGAGCAGUGCGCGCCACGUGUAUUGGGCACCUCACCGCGGCCACUUCACAUCCUAUCUCAGGUGGAGAAACUAAGCCACAGAAAGGAGCUGUCAUUUACCUAAAGCACCGUGGCAGGGGUUUGGCAGAGCCAGGAUUUGUACCCAGAUCGCCUGACUUCGGAGAGUAACAGCUCUUAACCACAGCACUUCGGUCUAUGCCUUGAUUUCACCAUAUGUAACAAGCAGCUGUGCCACUUUGCAUUCCCACCAGCAGCACGCAAGCGUUCGAAUUUCUCCGCACGCUCCCCAACAGGACAAGAGCUUGCCGUGUUGCCCCAGGCUGGUCUCAAACUCCUAGCCUCAAGCAAACUUCCUGUCUCGGCCUUUCAAAACCCUGAGAUUACAAGCAUAAGAAAAGAAAAUCUUGUAAGAUGAAAGCUGAAGGAUGAGAGCAAUUAAUUGAUGAAGUAUGAUGAUCCAGGUGUCCCUGGGUGAAGAAACAACCUCUACAAAGGCCCUGAGAGAUGGGGUCUCCCUAUGCUUCCCAGGCUGGUCUCGAACUCCUGGACUCAAGCAAUCCUCCUGUCUUGACCUCCCAAAGUGCUGGGAUUACAGGCGUGAGCCGCCUCACCUGGCCUAUAGAAUUUUAUACAAAUGAAAUCAUACUGGUCUCGCUCAUCACCAGGCUGGAGUACAGUGACAUGAUC
RNAcentral lists this long non-coding RNA (976 nucleotides) under Homo sapiens (human). Its description in RNAcentral is "HSALNT0405580". The record is from RNAcentral. Lineage: Eukaryota; Metazoa; Chordata; Mammalia; Primates; Hominidae.